UCCUGGGUGCUUCUACUUUCACAUGGUUGACCAAAACGAUUAAAGGAAUGGAUGUCCCAAACACUGUGCUGAAAUCCAUUCCAGAAAGCUGCAAUUUGUUCGCUGUUUCGAGAUGGAAGGUUAUUUGCAAGUUGGCUGGACAGAAGCCUUUUGUUACAGAUCCAUCGUCAGAUAUACGGAAGGCUAGACUUAAUAUCUUCACGCAGAAAGAACGGAAUAGAACUUUGGACGAGCAAGAGACGAACCCGAGUUCUCUUGAAAUGGAUUCGGGCAAAAGUUCGUUAUCAGAGUGGUCGCAGCUCAAUCGUUUAACCUCUUUGGAUUCCGUUGUCAGCACGGAUAGCAAUGAUGCUUAUGGUCCUGCGCAUUCCCAUCGGAUUUCUGAUCUUGGGAUCUUGAUGACGGGGGGACAAUUCCACCCUAAUAAUUUGCAUCAAAAAUGGGGGGAAGAACCGCGAUUCCGAUCGCGAUCUAUGGAUGUCAUUCCAUCCGAUUUAGUAGAAGUUUCCCAAGAUGAUAUUAACUGGGAACUAGAGAAGCUAAGGUUAGAACUGAAGGUUACCUCGACAAAGUAUAAUCACGCCUGCAAGGAACUGAUCGUCGCCAAGAACAAGAUCGAAACACUCUCCGUCCAACGAUCGGAAGAAGCGACGAAGGCCAGAAUCGCCAUGGAAAGAGAAGAAGAAUUGAAAAAGAUCGCCGAAGAAGAGAGAUCUAAGAAUAUAGAAGCGAUGAAGGAAAUCAAAGAAACGAAACGAUUACUUGCUUUAUUUUCAGGUGAUGAAAACUGCAAACUAUACUCCAAGGAUGAGAUCAUCGCUGCUACUGAUGACUUCUCCGAUUCGAAAAAGAUCGGAUCCGGUGGUUACGGCAACGUCUACGGAUGCAUCCUUGACGACACUCCGGUAGCGAUCAAAG
This 918-nucleotide long non-coding RNA is filed under the name Zostera marina. RNAcentral describes it as "long non-coding RNA (ZMAR_LNC005172)". Lineage: Eukaryota; Viridiplantae; Streptophyta; Magnoliopsida; Alismatales; Zosteraceae. The record is from RNAcentral.